UACGUAGGUGGCAAGCGUUGUCCGGAUUUAUUGGGUUUAAAGGGUGCGUAGGCGGCCCUGUAAGUCAGUGCUGAAAUCUCCCAGCUUAACUGGGAGGGUGGCAUUGAUACUGCGGGGCUAGAGUACAGAUGAGGUAGGCGGAAUUGACGGUGUAGCGGUGAAAUGCUUAGAUAUCGUCAAGAACACCUAUAGCGAAGGCAGCUUACUAGGCUGUAACUGACGCUGAGGCACGAAAGUGUGGGGAUCAAACAGG
This 253-nucleotide ribosomal RNA is filed under the name uncultured bacterium. RNAcentral's name for it is "partial 16S ribosomal RNA". It matches the Rfam family "Bacterial small subunit ribosomal RNA", at positions 524 to 776 of the family's 1533-position model. The record is from RNAcentral.